ACAGGAGUCACUUUGGGGGUUCUUGUUAAAAUGCAGAUUUUGAUUCACUAGACCCUGUGGGGCCUGAAUUCGUGCAUUACUAAUAAAUUUCCAGGUGAUGCCGAU
RNAcentral lists this microRNA precursor (105 nucleotides) under Marmota monax (woodchuck). Lineage: Eukaryota; Metazoa; Chordata; Mammalia; Rodentia; Sciuridae. The record is from RNAcentral.